This 220-nucleotide unclassified non-coding RNA is filed under the name Hevea brasiliensis (rubber tree). Lineage: Eukaryota; Viridiplantae; Streptophyta; Magnoliopsida; Malpighiales; Euphorbiaceae. The record is from RNAcentral.
AUGAGUUCAAAAUGUGAAAGAAAAAAAUUCAAAUUUUUUAAGAAGAAAUCUGUUCAUGGAAAAACAUCUAAGUGAGAUAGACAUUACAUUUGUGGAAAAAAAAGGGAUAUUUUUGAAAAGAAUGACCUUAAUAUCAAAGAAGGUUGCAAAGCUGACUCAGCAAAUUCACCAAAAGCACUCACUUAUACCUAGAAGAUACAGAUGUUUAAUCCUUAUUCCA